ACCGGCGCACGGGUGAGUAACACGUAUCCAACCUGCCGAUGACUCGGGGAUAGCCUUUCGAAAGAAAGAUUAAUACCCGAUGGCAUAGUUCUUCCGCAUGGUAGAACUAUUAAAGGAUUUCGGUCAUCGAUGGGGAUGCGUUCCAUUAGGUUGUUGGCGGGGUAACGGCCCACCAAGCCUUCGAUGGAUAGGGGUUCUGAGAGGAAGGUCCCCCACAUUGGAACUGAGACACGGUCCAAACUCCUACGGGAGGCAGCAUG
Molecule: ribosomal RNA, 260 nt
Filed under: uncultured bacterium
Lineage: Bacteria
Description: partial 16S ribosomal RNA
Rfam family: Bacterial small subunit ribosomal RNA
Source: RNAcentral